GCCCUCUCCCAGGAGGUAGAUUUGAUCAGAGAGCAGGUGCAGCAGCUCAUCUCUCUGCCUAUGUGGAUGGGCCUCCUACCAUCCAGACUCCAACACGAGCUUAAGAAAGUCCCAAAGCUGCAGAAAUUCUGGAAUCUAAUCAAGAAGAAAUCUGAUAAGAUGGAGGCUGACGAAGCUGAACAGGCACAGAAAGAGAGGGCAUUCCUCUCAGCUCUCAUUAAAAAGUUUCUUGGAGUUCUCGUGUCCAUCCCACCAUCAGG
Notothenia coriiceps (black rockcod) is the source of this 260-nucleotide long non-coding RNA. RefSeq lists it as uncharacterized. The record is from RefSeq and is a predicted model, not a curated record. NCBI's taxonomy places the organism in Eukaryota, Metazoa, Chordata, Actinopteri, Perciformes, Nototheniidae. The transcript is spliced from 3 exons.